UAUGAUGAACUCACAAAUGCAACUCAACUACCCGGCAAAAAUUAACCCUUCUCAUGCAGAUGAAUCAGCUAGUGCUUAUUCUAUCAUGGAAUUGUCUGGUGAAUGUAUCAGGAAAUAUUCAGAGCAUAACCAACAUCUAAUGCUGAACUGAACAAAAAACAAGUAUUGCCUUUCCCACAGCUCUACCUCCAUCAACAAAGAAAGCACUUUUAGAAGGAGACAGAAGUUUAGCAACUGCUAAGAAUGCCCAAAUUACAGAUUAGUUCAGCACUAACAUUCUUAAAAGAAUCCCAAUCCAAUAACAUAUCGGGUCUUAUCCUAAAAAAAGCUCUUCUCCAAGAUGGCCAACAGAACAUGAUCUCUAUCCAAAGUAGUUGUAUUGUGCAGCUGUUAAGCUGCAUAUUUCGGUCACAGAACGUGAGGAUAAAAUAGUCGUUCCUGCGGAAUCCAUCAACAAGCAGUUGCUGCACUAUCUCAUUCCCUCCAUUAUCUUUGGUUGGUUAAAAGUAGGAGUUUGCGGUUGUAUUUUUAUGUAUUUAAACCAUUCCCAAGCAGCAAGGAAAA
Molecule: long non-coding RNA, 564 nt
Organism: Carica papaya (papaya)
Lineage: Eukaryota; Viridiplantae; Streptophyta; Magnoliopsida; Brassicales; Caricaceae
Source: RefSeq, a predicted model, not a curated record